GGAAGCUGAACUAAGAAAGUUGAAGAUUCAGUCAGACCAAUGGAGGAAGGCUGCAGAAGUAGCAACCGCGAUGCUAUCAAAUGGCAAUAAUGGGAAGUUCAUGGAAAGAACCGGAUCAAUGGAUAGUCCUUACAGUCCUUGCAAGAUUAGCUCACCUUACUUUGAGGACAUGGAUGAAGAUUUGAUGAAAAGGAAAAAUCCAAAUAUGCUUAAAAGGAUCGGCGAGUUAUGGAAGAAGCCACUGAAAUAGGAAAAAGUACGCGGAAAAGGUACUUAUGUGAUGAUCCUUGAACUUAACCUCUUAGUUUAUGUAUUUGAAACAAAAUCAACUGAACUUCUUACUUAUUGUAAUCAUAUAGAAGCUCUGCUCAGCCUAGAACUGAGUCUAAUGAUUGUUCAAUUCUGUUACUCUUUCU
RNAcentral lists this unclassified non-coding RNA (416 nucleotides) under Hevea brasiliensis (rubber tree). Lineage: Eukaryota; Viridiplantae; Streptophyta; Magnoliopsida; Malpighiales; Euphorbiaceae. The record is from RNAcentral.